Molecule: non-coding RNA, 818 nt
Organism: Arachis ipaensis
Lineage: Eukaryota; Viridiplantae; Streptophyta; Magnoliopsida; Fabales; Fabaceae
Source: RefSeq, a predicted model, not a curated record
CGGAAGGGUCGAACCGGUUGAACCGGAACCCAAACCGAGCCCGUUGGUCCAACCGGACCCAUAACAUAAAUGAAGCAGCAGCUUCAUCUUCUCCAUUUCACAAAAGCAACGAAACACACAGCAAGAGGGGAGGAGAAGAAACCUAACCCUCACCUUUCCUUCUCACCAUCAUAACUCCUCCGUCCGGGCUCCAAUCGCCGCACCGUUCGCGGCCACGCGCUUAGCGCGUCGAGCUCUACCUUUCUAUCUGAACAAUUUCACUGGAAAGCCUCCUAUUAAGUUCAGAAUUUCUAUCCCUCUUUCUUGGGUAAACUUGAAAACAUAUGGUGAAUCUUGUCCAAUUUCUAUGUUCUAGGUUCAAGUUAGCUUUCGGAACAUGUGGGCUCAAGCUAUUGAGCAUAUGGGUAUGGUGUAGGUUAAGUGGGUGUUUAUGCAUUGGAAUUGAUUUAGGAUUACUUGGAGGUUUGUUGGUGACCAAGGCUUACUUUGGGGCUGUUUAAUUGAGCUUGGAGGGGCUGUAAUUUUGUGUUGAGAGGUUGCCUUGGGUGAAUUAAGUGAUCGGCCAAGGUAUAGUUUAAGUUUCGCACGUUUAAUAUUUACGGUGUUGUGAAAACUUAGGUUAGAGGAACCAUAGGAUAAGUUGAAUUGUUGGUUGUAUUUAAUGAUUAGCCUUGUAAUGUUGUUGGAAUAUAUUUGUUGGUGGAUAUAUAUUAGAAUUAUGAGGUGUGGAAGUUAUUAAUGGUGUGCUCUUAUAUUUAUUUAUGAUGGAUUAGGAUUGGUGUUUGUUAAUAAGGAUGUAGAGUUGUGUUAUGGUGGUA